GAUGAAGAACGCAGCAAAAUGCGAUAAGUAAUGUGAAUUGCAGAAUUCAGUGAAUCAUCGAGUCUUUGAACGCACAUUGCGCCCCCUGGUAUUCCGGGGGGCAUGCCUGUCCGAGCGUCAUUGCUGCCCUCAAGCACGGCUUGUGUGUUGGGCCCCCGUCCCCGGUUUCCCCCGGGGACGGGCCCGAAAGGCAGCGGCGGCACCGCGUCCGGUCCUCGAGCGUAUGGGGCUUUGUCACCCGCUCUGUAGGCCCGGCCGGCGCCAGCCGACACCCAACUUUAUUUCUAAGGUUGACCUCGGAUCAGGUAGGGAUACCCGCUGAACUUAAGCAUAUCAAUAAGCGGAGGA
Molecule: unclassified non-coding RNA, 348 nt
Filed under: soil metagenome
Description: partial contains 5.8S ribosomal RNA, internal transcribed spacer 2, and large subunit ribosomal RNA
Rfam family: 5.8S ribosomal RNA (bases 1-120)
Source: RNAcentral